UGAUUGGAUUGCAACAGGAUUUCAGUCAGAAUAAAGAUCCUUUGUCUGUUGUCAAUAGCGUGGAGAUCAGAGUAGCGAAGAUUGCUUUUCAGACCAAGCAGGUUUUUGUUGGGCAAUGUGGCAAAUUCAGGUGACCAACUUAAAAAUGAGCAAAACCAGCAUGGAGAAUUGUUUCCCUCUCAUGCGAAACUCUUGAUCAUGUAGAUUCCUAUAGAAUGACUGGAUUUAGCAUGUGAAACUUCACAGAGCAAUGGUGACUGCAUUUUAAGGCUUAAAUCUAUAGAAGAAUUAUGGCAACUUCUCCAAAAUACUUCAAAUGACUGUGAUUUUUAUUUUUUUUAUACUAUAAAGUAGGGAUGCUUUCAAAAACAAUGUCAUAAAUAGACUUUAUUACAUGAAUUAGGACACAUUAACCACUAAUUUGCCAAAAUAAACAGUAGUUACAAUCUGCCAUUAUAUUGUUGGUGAAAAUAUAAUACUUCAAGCAACUUCAAACACCUUGAAACAAACAGAAGCAGGCAAUAAAAGGUGUUAGUUUGAGGAUUUAGGGUGUGCAUGUUGAGUUCCUUUGCCAGCUGAGCGUGAACGCCGCUUGUCUCUGCUGUUCUCCCACAGAGUGAGCCCUUAUUUGCUCUUUUGGAUUCGCAGAGACUCUAUUUUUAGGGGAGACUUACAGACAGAGUUCCUGGCGGCCGUGAGCUCGCGGUUGUUUCAGAAAACCACGGGGCCCCAGCGUAACGAUUCUCUAUCUUCCUCCGUCCUUCACGUCCAACCUUCAUCCACAGGCCUCUCGCGGCAGAAACAAUGGAUUGAAGUGUUUCAACUCAUGGCGUGAACAUAUUAACAGCAUAAUUUAUGUGGCCCAUGUGCAGGGGAAUGAAAUAGCCUUAUGACAGAGAGUGCUGCGGUGAAGUCGAUUACUGAUGUGGGCGAGCAUAUAAUCAGCGCUCACUCUCUUCAUGUACUUACAAGAGGCAAGUUCUCGGAAAGCCUCCCAGGACGUCAAUGCACACCAUGUCAUAUUCCAGUAAUGAGGAUCUGCCAGAGACAAACAGAAAUAAGGAAGACGGAACAAACAGUCCGUGUCCAACAGACUGAUUAUGACUGCAGACGAGAGUGCCGUGAAAAAUAAUGUAUGCUUGUUCUGAUGGAGCUAAAUGGACCUGAUUGAGGGCAAGCAGAGAAGGCCCUGCUGGCCCUGACGGCCCACCACUGCUCCUAAAUGAGGUCAGUAGUAUUCUGUUGUGAUAUGUGAUCAGUUAUCUAUGCAGCUUUUAAUAUGAGCACUGUAACUUAAUAUCUUAGGAAAGUAACUAUUAUUAUACACUGUAAUAUAGUUUAUAUACUGUACAUAAGAUUGAGAGAUUAACAUUAUUCUGAUGCUAUUGUUUUAUAGCUGUAAUUACAAAUCUGUGAUUCCUAUCCAUAUUUUAUAGUUUAUUGCAUGCAGGGUGAUUUGUUAAGCCACCAAAUUGUUUCUAGGCAACCUUAAACAAAAUUGGUGAUAUGACCACAUAUAUUUGAAGAUUUAACAAUUUUACUAACCCUGUGAUGGAAAGAGGCACAUGGAAUAAUUGGUAACUAUAUUUAGGUAAAAAAAAAUAGCUGUUUCUAAACCUUUUUUUUUUUCAUGCUGCUUGUGUCUGAACAAUUACAAAUAAAUCUGAAAUAUAUAUAUGUACUGCCA
Long non-coding RNA from Cyprinus carpio (common carp), 1687 nucleotides. Lineage: Eukaryota; Metazoa; Chordata; Actinopteri; Cypriniformes; Cyprinidae. The record is from Ensembl.